GUGCCAGCAGCCGCGGUAAUACGUAGGGUGCGAGCGUUGUCCGGGAAUUACUGGGCGUAAAGAGCUCGUAGGUGGUUUGUCGCGUCGUCUGUGAAAUUCCGGGGCUUAACUCCGGGCGUGCAGGCGAUACGGGCAAUACUUGAGUGAUGUAGGGGUAACUGGAAUUCCUGGUGUAGCGGUGAAAUGCGCAGAUAUCAGGAGGAACACCGAUGGCGAAGGCAGGUUACUGGGCAUUUACUGACGCUGAGGAGCGAAAGCAUGGGUAGCGAACAGGAUUAGAUACCCUGGUAGUCC
This 294-nucleotide ribosomal RNA is filed under the name uncultured microorganism. RNAcentral describes it as "partial 16S ribosomal RNA". It matches the Rfam family "Bacterial small subunit ribosomal RNA", at positions 505 to 796 of the family's 1533-position model. The record is from RNAcentral.